GGGUCAGUAGGUUGGUCGUGCCACCGGUACGUACUGGUCUCAGUGAUUCCUCCUUCCUGAAGAACCGUAAUGCCAUUAAUUUGGUGUUGCGGGGAAACAGGACUGUUACUUUGAAAAAAUUAGAGUGUUUAAAGCAAGCUAACGCUUGAAUACAUUAGCAUGGAAUAAUGAAAUAGGACGAUCGAUCCUAUUUUGUUGGUUUCUAGGAUUGACGUA
RNAcentral lists this ribosomal RNA (216 nucleotides) under Glomeromycotina sp. Its description in RNAcentral is "partial small subunit ribosomal RNA". The stretch from base 44 to 216 matches the Rfam family "Eukaryotic small subunit ribosomal RNA", at positions 690 to 864 of the family's 1831-position model. Lineage: Eukaryota; Fungi; Glomeromycota. The record is from RNAcentral.